Molecule: long non-coding RNA, 898 nt
Organism: Daktulosphaira vitifoliae (grape phylloxera)
Lineage: Eukaryota; Metazoa; Arthropoda; Insecta; Hemiptera; Phylloxeridae
Exons: 3
Source: RefSeq, a predicted model, not a curated record
AUUAUUGUGCUAUUAGAUAACGGUGACAAUACGCAAAAAUUAUUUUACACUUGGCAUCGUUUUGGUUAGUGUAUAGUGUCUAGUGAUUGUUUUUAUAACUAAACGGAAGAAAUAAUUUUAAAUUCUGUCGUCAUUGAAAAUAAUGCAUUUUCCGAAGAAUUUUCACACGAAUCAGCUCUAUUAGAUAUACUAGGAGAGUUAAAAUGUAAUUGCUUCUUCAGUAUAUUUAUCGAACAUGGAAUAACAUGUGAAAGCCUUAAAUAUAUUAUUGAAAAACACUUACAAGACAUUUGUCCAAAAGCCUGUUAUGGUCAAUGAAUAAUAUUUGAGCACCAUUUAAAAAAGUGGUAGGCAAACUUUGUUAGUGUGAGUUAACUAAAUUAAUUUUAAGUCUUUUAACAGACCUUUCAUUUUUGAUCAUUUCUAUAGGAAAAAUCUAGUAACACUAGUGCUAGUAAAAAUAAUGCAUCAGAAUCUUUAUCUGAUUCAGAAAUGUCUGAAUACUCUAAUUUGAUAAUGUCAUUCUAUAAAAAAAAUUUAAAGCUUACUGAUGAAUUAAGGAAAAUGUUGACUGAAAUAAUUACUAAAUAUAUGAUACAGCAUAAAAUAUAUAGAUCUCCUAAAAUCAUUAAUAAUAUUUCUGAUAGUAUCAAUAAUAUAUUUAAAUCUGAAGUUAAGGAAACAUACUUUAUUAGCGCGCCUGCAUAAAAACUAAAGGGAAUAUUGUACUCAAAAUAUCAUAAAACAUUGACAAUAUUACGCAAACACAAAUUGUGGUCUCCCAUAAAAAAAGUAAAAAAAAGUUCUGAUGAUAGUAACUUACAGCAAACAUCUUUACUAUAUAGAUCAACUAUAAACAAAUAAUUAAUAAUAGUAAUUUUUACUAAUAAUUAGUAAA